UGCUGCAGGUCUACUGGACUCAGGGUAGAACCUGGAGGAGCGUUUGUUCUCAGGACUGGAGCGAGCAGCAGGGCAGAGCCAGCUGCCAGCAGGUCGGAUACAGCAGGGACACAUAUUUUGAAUCAGGCCAACAGCAGACUGACACUGAUGAUGGGUUCCUAAUAUUAAAGUCUGACUUCAACCCUACAGCACCCAUAAUGCAUCAGCUCGUGCUCAGCAAAACCUGUCCCAACAACAGCGUGGUGACGUUGCAUUGCACUGACUGUGGGAGGGGGCUAAACUCCAGCAGGGCCUCGGGGGGGCAGCAGGCCUCUCCCUGGCAGGUCAGCCUGAGGGUGGGGGUGUCCCACCGCUGUGGAGGAGCCAUCAUCUCCCCCUACUGGAUCCUCACUGCAGCACACUG
Molecule: long non-coding RNA, 403 nt
Organism: Notothenia coriiceps (black rockcod)
Lineage: Eukaryota; Metazoa; Chordata; Actinopteri; Perciformes; Nototheniidae
Exons: 4
Source: RefSeq, a predicted model, not a curated record